Molecule: ribosomal RNA, 253 nt
Filed under: uncultured bacterium
Lineage: Bacteria
Description: partial 16S ribosomal RNA
Rfam family: Bacterial small subunit ribosomal RNA
Source: RNAcentral
UACGUAGGGACCGAGCGUUGUCCGGAAUCAUUGGGCGUAAAGAGCGUGUAGGCGGCCUUUUAAGUCCUGCGUGAAAUCCUGCGGCUCAACCGCAGACGGUCGUGGGAAACUGGAAGGCUAGAGUGCGGGAGAGGAGAGUGGAAUUCCCGGUGUAGCGGUGAAAUGCGCAGAUAUCGGGAAGAACACCCGUGGCGAAGGCGGCUCUCUGGAACGGCAUUGACGCUGAUGAGCGAAAGCCAGGGGAGCAAACGGG